CCAAGUGCUCACCUACUUGAAUGUUUGUUAAAAAAUCAACGUUGUUUGUUAAAACCAGGUCCAAACAAGCAUCCUUUCUAGUUGGUACUUGUAAAACUUGUGACAUGAAGGUGUCAUUUAACAAGUUUAAAAACUUAAUUCCGUUGCUGAGCUACUAGUCUCUCUGUCCCAAUUUAUGUCCAGGUAAUUAAAAUCUCCAAUAAUUAAAGUGUUAC
Pelobates cultripes (western spadefoot toad) is the source of this 215-nucleotide non-coding RNA. NCBI's taxonomy places the organism in Eukaryota, Metazoa, Chordata, Amphibia, Anura, Pelobatidae. The record is from the annotation of a GenBank genome assembly.